AUUGAACGCUGGCGGAAUGCUUUACACAUGCAAGUCGAACGGCAGCACGGGGGCAGCCCUGGUGGCGAGUGGCGAACGGGUGAGUAAUACAUCGGAACGUGCCCGGUCGUGGGGGAUAACGUAGCGAAAGUUACGCUAAUACCGCAUACGAUCUAAGGAUGAAAGCGGGGGACCUUCGGGCCUCGCGCGAUCGGAGCGGCCGAUGUCAGAUUAGGUAGUUGGUGGGGUAAAGGCCUACCAAGCCGACGAUCUGUAGCUGGUCUGAGAGGACGACCAGCCACACUGGGACUGAGACACGGCCCAGACUCCUACGGGAGGCAGCAGUGGGGAAUUUUGGACAAUGGGCGCAAGCCUGAUCCAGCCAUUCCGCGUGCAGGACGAAGGCCUUCGGGUUGUAAACUGCUUUUGUACGGAACGAAAAGGCUCUGGCUAAUACCUGGGGCUCAUGACGGUACCGUAAGAAUAAGCACCGGCUAACUACGUG
Molecule: ribosomal RNA, 484 nt
Filed under: uncultured bacterium
Lineage: Bacteria
Description: partial 16S ribosomal RNA
Rfam family: Bacterial small subunit ribosomal RNA
Source: RNAcentral